RNAcentral lists this ribosomal RNA (364 nucleotides) under uncultured bacterium. Its description in RNAcentral is "partial 16S ribosomal RNA". It matches the Rfam family "Bacterial small subunit ribosomal RNA", at positions 338 to 699 of the family's 1533-position model. The record is from RNAcentral.
CCUACGGGUGGCAGCAGUGAGGAAUAUUGGUCAAUGGACGAGAGUCUGAACCAGCCAAGUAGCGUGAAGGAUGAAGGCCCUAUGGGUUGUAAACUUCUUGUAUAGGGGAAUAAAAUGUUCCACGUGUGGGAUUUUGUAUGUACCAUAUGAAUAAGGAUCGGCUAACUCCGUGCCAGCAGCCGCGGUAAUACGGAGGAUCCGAGCGUUAUCCGGCUUUAUUGGGGUUAAAGGGAGCGUAGGGGGCUUGUUAAGUCAGUUGGGAAAGUUUGCGGCUCAACCUUAAAAUUGCAGUUGAAACUGGCAGUCUUGAGUACAGUAGAGGUGGGCGGAAUUCGUGGUGUAGCGGUGAAAUGCUUAGAUAUCA